Molecule: ribosomal RNA, 1182 nt
Filed under: Triticum aestivum (bread wheat)
Lineage: Eukaryota; Viridiplantae; Streptophyta; Magnoliopsida; Poales; Poaceae
Description: partial small subunit ribosomal RNA
Source: RNAcentral
AUGGUCAGCCACAACCAGAACGCUUUCAUUCCGGGACGGAGCCUGCACGACAACUUUGUCCUCGUCCGGCAAUCGAUGAAGCUGCUGCACCAACUUGGGGCUCCGAGAGCGAUGCUCAAGCUCGACCUAACGCGCGCCUUCGACUCCCUAUCAUGGCCCUUCCUUUUUGAGGCUCUUGGCCAAUACGGAUUCGGAUCGCGCUUCAGGGAGUGGCUCGCGAUCUUGCUAUCGUCUUCGAGCACCCGGAUCAUGAUCAAUGGUGAGCCGGGACCGCCAGUGUGGCAUCGCUGCAGGCUGCGCCAGGGAGACCCCGUUUCUCCACAGCUCUUCGUGCUCGUCGUGGACAUCCUUGGACGUCUAAUCAGCCGCGCCCACGACGCCGGCAUACUGCAGCGGCUGCACCCCCGACGAGACAUUCCGGCCAUAUCCUUGUACGCCGACGGCGUGAUGCUAUUCUGCCACGCCACGCAAGACGACGUGGAGGCCGUCCGCGCGAUCCUGGCCGCAUUCAGUGAAGCUAGCGGCCUCCGAGUCAACUAUGCCAAAAGCUCCGCCACCGUUUUCAAUGGCGACCCCGAGGCGGAUGCAGCAAUUGAUCAGGUGGGAUGCGCGAAAGCGGAGCUACCCAUUACUUAUGUUGGCAUCCCUCUCACGCUACGCCGCCCCUCAGCUGCCCAACUACAACCCCUCGUCGACUCGGUGGCCGCUCGGCUCCCCACAUGGAAAGCAUGGCUCAUGAACAAAAUCGGGCGGCUGGCUUUGGUCAAAUCGGUGCUCGCCGCGAUCCCGAUACAUCAGCUGCUCGCGUUCGCGCCACCCAAGAAGACCUUGAGACAGCUCGAAAAGAUCCAGCGCGGCUUCUUGUGGGCUGGGCGCGCUGCUGCUAAUGGCGGACACUGCCACGUCAACUGGCGACGUGUGUGCCGCCCGCUCGAGUACGGCGGGCUCGGGGUCCAGGACCUGGAGCGUGCCGGUCUAGCGCUGCGCCUGCGCUGGAUGUGGUUCUCCCACACGGACGACGACCGCGCAUGGCGAGGCCUCGACCUCCAGUUUUCCCGCGAGGAGCACGCGUUGUUCUUCGCAUCGACGACCAUGGAGCAUGGCGAUGGACAGACGACAUUGUUCUGGGAUGACCAAUGGCUCAACGGCCAGUCCGUGCGGGAGCUCGCACCGGCACUCUAG